This is a long non-coding RNA of Lutra lutra (Eurasian river otter), 9862 nucleotides long. RefSeq lists it as uncharacterized. The transcript is spliced from 3 exons. NCBI's taxonomy places the organism in Eukaryota, Metazoa, Chordata, Mammalia, Carnivora, Mustelidae. The record is from RefSeq and is a predicted model, not a curated record.
GUGCCAAUUUUUCUGUUCCAGAAAAUAGACUACAUUUGUAAAAGAGGAAACAGUGCCUUGGAAGGAGGAACACUGGAGUUGUCAUGUGGGUUUUCCAGGGGAAGGGACACACGGGCCAUCACGUUCCAGGGGCACGGGAGCUCUGACUGUACUUGAAUUUCUAUAACAUGAGUUUGCCCACAGCAUAACCGUGCUGUGUUUUCCACGUGAGAAAGCAGCGGCUCGCUCACAGCCGGUCUCUGGUGCGCGUGGAGCUGGACCUGAGAGCCUUGGAGUUGUCGCGUUUUUGCAGGGGGAGCUCUGUUUCUGCAACCUGAAACUAGCUUUACCUGAAGUGAAAUGCGUUUCUCGUGUUAAAUGUUUGUUUCCUGACGAUUUCUAAAGGACUGAUUUGGGGAAAUCUGCUCUUUGACAGAUGUCCCACACUCCCUGGUGCGCGGCUCCACGCGGAAGGCCGCUCUGCCUCUCACUCGGGCGUGGACUUCGGCCGCCGCCCAUUCGGAACACACUCUCCUGCCAGAUGUUUGUCUUCCUGCUUUCUCUGGGUGAAGGUUCAGAGGAGUCUUCGCAGCUUCAGCCACGUAAUUACUUUUCCAACAGUUAAGAGCUUUGGCAGCUGGCAUCCGCAAACUGGUGUGAAGACGGGAACCCGCAGUUUAACCGCAGAGCUUCCGAAGCGCCUACCGAGCGGGUUCGGGCCGCCGCCCCCACCAAGGGCACUGCCGGUGCGCCGGGAAGUCGCCCCCGGGGAAUUCUGACAGCCUCCUGGCCGCCGCCCAGGGACUGUGAGUCAUGAAGAAACCCCGUGUGCAAAAGAAACGGCCGGCAGACAAGAAAUGGCUCCUGAGAAGGCCCUCGUCUCCCCCAGGCUGGGCCCCUGACUGUGCCCGAGGUCCUGGAGAGGCCUGGGCCCUCUGCACCCCACCCCCAGCUGCCACAGGGGCUCCGCAAGCCUGCAGUGGGCACAUGUCUCCCCUGAAGAUACAGAAGUGUGUCCCCCAGUAGGCAGGGCGCUGCCAUCCAGCCAGGCCAGGGCACGUCCCCUCCCUGAGGAACCGAGGAACCCAGAUGGACGGGGGUGUGUGAUGUGGAGCGGGGCUCCAGGCAGGUGGGGCCUAUCUUCUCGUUUGGGAUCCCCCCCUUGACCCUGAGCCGAGGCUGGCUAAGGAGAUGGCUCUUGGCACUCUGGGGAGACGGGGAGAGGAGGGGCAGGAACCAUGGCCCGCCUUGCUGAGGAUGUUAUGGGCUUGGAGCGCUGAUGGGGUGACCGGAGGAGAUGGAGCACCAGGGUGUGUCCCUGCCCAGCUCCCAGGGCCAAGCCAGUCUGGAGGAGCCCCUCCCUGCCAAGAGCUGGGCUUGGUGGUCCAGCCCCUCCUCAGAUCCAUAGCUCGGCCACCUCCCCUAACCCAGGGACAGCUUGUUUUAAAGGCAGGUAUAUUGAGAUGAUGUAGUCAAAUGCCCUACCUUUCAUGUUCCAAUUUUGCAAACACGCAGUCCUGUAGCCACCACCACGGUGGCGGCCAGUGUAGGAGGUCCCCGCUGUCCCCACACAGCUCACCGCUCUGUCCUCUGGCUUUGCCUUCUCAGCUGUCACACAGCGGCAGGCUCUGGGCCCCCACCGAUGUGCCUGUGCCAUCGCGUGUAUCGGCAGUGGCUCCCGUCUGUGGCUCAGAAGCUCCUGCUGCAUGAACUGGCCACGGCCUUGGGUCCGUUCUCCCAGGAACACUCAGGUUGGUGCCAGUUUGGGCGAUUGUGAAUAGGACAUGAUGCCCUAGCCAAGCCCCAGCAGGCUCUCCUGGGAGUUCAGCCUGGAUUUCUGUUGGUGAAAAGUUGGGGCUUUGGCUCCCUGUCUUUGUGGCCCCUGCCUCGCUCCUCGUCCACAACCACCAUCCAUUUCCUCUCUGGCUUGUGGCCCGUGUGGUCUGUGCUCCAUCCUCUGGUCCCCAUCCCCACACACUCAGCCUUUCUAAAGAAAGUCUCAUCAUAUCCUCUGCGUCGUCUUCCAAGUCCCCCACACCUCUGAGUCCCUCCUUCCUUCUUCCAGUGACAUUUAUCCUCCUGGGCCCGUCCCAGGGACCCCCACUCCCACCCCUUGCAUAGCCUCCCAGGCUCCAGGCCGAGUGGCCUCUGGACCGGUUCUCCUAGGACAACACUCAUGGCUGCAGCAGGGCCUGGGGGUCUGCGUGUUGGUGCCCCCACUAGACUCUGGGUUCUUGGAAAGCAGGGCACCUUCUGAUUGAAAUCUGACUCCCAGACCAGCAGGCACCUGGUGGUCGCAUCCAAGGGGAACACAGAGAAGUCUAUGCCACAGAAAGGGGCUGGUGUACCGAAGGGGCAGAGGGAAACCCCACAAGCCAGAAUGCCUCAAGGCAGGAGGGAGGACAGAGAGGCAGAAAGGUGUUGGCCUUUCUUAGGUUGGCACCUGGGCCUUGCCCUCUCAGUGCACACUCUUGCUGCUGGCCUCCACGGCCCGUGCACCCCAGAGGCAGCAUGGACCCCUGCCCUCUCUCCUUGGUGCUCUGCCUCCCCUGACCCUGCCUGCCCGGACGGGCUCACUCUGCUGCACCCACCCCCUCUAGCCCCCAGGAUGCCCCCUGAGGGACUCGGUCCUGGAGGCUGUCCAGCCUUCUCCACACUGUUCAGUGGGGAACAGAGUUUCAGUUUGGGAAGACGGGACAGUCCUGGAGACAGAUGGUGUAGAUGGCUGUGCACUUACAAAUGGCCCAAACAGCCACUUGAGGGGCACCUGGUGGCUUAGUUGAGGCGAGAUCAUGACUGACUCAGUUCACUUAGCAAAGUGCUCUCUAGAUCUACCCGCAUCACUGCAGAUGGCAAGACUUCAGUUCAUUUGAUGGCUGAGUAUCAGUCCAUUGUAUAUAUAUACCCCAUCUUCUUUAUCCAUUUAACAAAUAAAUCUUUAAGGGCUGAAGGCAGAGGAGUGGGAGGGGAGAGGAGAGCCCGCAGAGUGGCAGCACCAUGGCACCCACGUGGCCAUCACAUGUCUGCGUGUUGGGUGCCAGCUCUGUGCCUGUCGAAUGAAGGCCAAGGGCUUACGGUGGGUUUUCAUGGCUUUCUCCCCACUGCCCGUGGUCCUGCUAGCACGCUCAGGAGUGUGAGGAGGCCGUGCAUCUCCCCGGGAACGUCCCCCUCACUCGUGAGCGGUGCAGCCUGUCAGAGGCCAGAGGAAAGCCCGCACGGGACCCCAGCAGUCGGAGCCAGAGCAAGCCGGCCGUGCACACGAGGUGGGGUAUGUCCCGCGGUGUUCUUCUGAAUCAGAAAGGUCCACAGAUUCACUAAAGAGCUAAAAGUAUUUUAGACUUUGCAGGCCACAUAUGGUCUCUGUUAUGUAGUGUGUGUUCCUGUUUUUGUUUCUUACUGUGUUUUAAAAAUAUAAAAUGCACCUGCGUCCAGUGAGCUAUACAGUAGGAAGCUGCGGGCAGGCCAUAGUUUGCCCCCUAUUUGUGCUGGUGCCCUGGGGGGGCAGGGUGCAUCUGGGGGACAGCCCUGGAGGAAAGCCUGGCAUGUGCGUGGUGAUGUGUCUCUCGUGGCUGUGUCCGUGGCCUGAUGUAGAGGCCUGGCGGGGCAGGACGCCGUGCCGUCCUGCCCCAUGUGCAUGGCGCUGUUCAUACCUGUACUGCUCCUUCUUGGUUCCCACAGGUGGGUACCAGGGCACAGUCUGUGGUCCUGGGGUCAGAGAGAGAGAGGUGUGGGGCCCUCUGUGGACUCUGUAUUUUGUCCUGUGGGCAGUGGGGAGCCAGCAGUGUGGACCUGGGAACCAUAAUCCACGUCACACAUCCGGUAGGACCCAAUCUUCGUCUCUCCCCCGAGCUGGAGCACAGGAACCACAACUGGGGCUUGUCCAGAUCUCUUUGGUAUUUGUGGAGGGAAGGAAGGAAGGAAGGAAGAAAGGCAGAUGGAACGGAUCGCCCGUGAGCAGAGGGCAACCUAUUGCAGACGGGGGCCAGCCCGCAGUAGUUAUCAGUUGGGCAUGAGGGCGGGGGUCGAGGAUGCCGGCCGGGGCAGUGGUUGCAAAGCACCAGAUGCUUGGAUUUAUUUAUGCUUUUCAUUUUUCAACUUGGAAUUUUCACUUAAUUUGUAUUUGUUUUAAAGUUCUCUCAAAGUAGCACAUACCAGGCUGAAGAGUCAACCUUAGAAAAGAUGGAGAGCAAAAGCCAUGGCCUCUGCUCCACCUCUGCCCUCCCAGGCCUACCUAGGCAUCCCCUUGGAACUUGUUCUAGAGAGUUCUUCCUGUGGUACCUUGCAGUACUAAAUAGUGUGCUCAGUCCUUAAUGUCCCCACACCCCCAGCUGUGGGCGUGGCUGGUGCUGGCUUCCUCUGCCAGCUGAGCGCCCGUCUGGGAGGCUUCACACCACCUCUGGUCCUGCCGGUGUGGGUCUAAGCCACGCGCUGAACAGUAGGGACAAGGGGAUUCCCUGUAAAACAAGGUUUCUCAGAUGUUUGUCUGCCAGACUCAGGAAAAUCGAGGGUGCCCACGCUGAGCCUGGGUGUGGGAUGUCCCCCAGAGGAAAGCGCGGGAGCCAGGUAGCCCAGACGGCCGGGGCACGGGCACGGGCACGUGUUAUUUCUAACUAGUUUCUUCCACUCGCCAUCUUUCUCGGCUUCUUCGUGCUGUGUCUCAGCCGUUCCUCUUCCCACUGCCGGGCCCCCGUGCACGCACACCUACUGCCCACUGGCCUCCUGACUUGAGCUCCGCGCAGCUGGGCCCUGGCUCGGGCGCUCCCCCCGGCCCUGGGCUCAGUUACUGCAUCUCCUCUGGUGAAACGCAGACGCAGGUACUCGCUCACGCCAACCCCCAAGCAGCGCAGGUGGGAAGGGCGGCUUUGCCGGUCCGGCCGGAGACCUGAGGGUGGUGCUGGCAUGGUGGCUGUGUGGCAUGUGUGUCCCCCUCAACGUUCAGAGCCCAGCCUCGAGGGGGGACCGGGGUGACUGUCCCCUCCCCUCUCACGUCCCCAUAUAGCCCACCUGAGGGAAAGUGUGCUGAGCAGGUGGAUUCUGAGAUGCUGGACUGUGACGGUGGCUCCCAGCUUGUCUGUUGUGCUUUAAAACCUGUUUUAUUACUAGUCAGGUGGCAGGUGGCAGGAGGCCAUCAGAUCAGAAGGUAGAUCGCUACCCACAGUCCCUGAGGGGUGGCUUUGCCAUGGGGGGCCACAUGGUGAAACACUGGUGUCAGCCAGCGAGUUACCUUAUUUCCAUGGGAAGGAACAGGCAAGGCAGAGUGCAGUAGGUCUGGGAUUAGUGGGUGAAUGACCUCAGCGGGCUCUGGGCCCAGGGGCUGGUGACCCUGGGUGACCAGAGCGGGCACACUGACUGGGGGUCGAGUGCCGACCAAGGCUACAGUGUGGCUCCGUGUGGGCUGGUGUGCACGUGGAGGCAGCCCCCAGGUGAGUCCUCCACUGUCCCCAGGCAUGGCCCGUCCCUCCAGGCUCUGCCAGACAGAAUGUGGCAAAUGAGAGAUGCGGUUAAUACACUUGGGUCCUCCGUGCCUAGUUGAGGCGCCCUCUCCUCAAGGCUGCAACCCUGGUCUCCGCGGUCACCCUGGGAGACCCGCUUCCUCCCUAUCCCUGCUCCCCUGUGCGUCGUCAUCACCUGGGAGCAUCCCCAGCAACAGGCGGGGCACAGGCUACCCAGGAGAGGGCUAGAGGGCAAUGUCCCCUCCCCGCGGUGACAUCACAGUUGGUGAUGGGCACUUGCCACAGGCUUGCGCCUCUGUUUUAGCUCGUCUCUCUGAAGGAAAGGGGAGGAAAAGGGUUGCAGAGGGACAUGCUGGCUGAAAAUGUGCAAGACAAGUCUGAGGAGGUGCCAGAGACAGCCCCCACCGUGGAGCACAACCAGCUCGCUCCAAUGCGCGAAGAGCGUGGGGAUGCCACCAUCCUGGUGCCCAGUUACAACUUUAUUCUUGCCAAGGUGCCCAAUGGCCAAAUCGCUCAUCAGCCUUACCGCUGAAAUCAGGUGUUUGCUGAGGAGUAUAGCAUCAGAUUCCUUUCCAAAAACAUUCCACACCCGCGCUGACAACCCUUCGCUCCUCACACUGGAGCCCAGGGACGGGACGUGCACGUCAUUCCACCAUGCAGCCCACGGCAGGAUUUAGGGGACCACAGGGAGUGGUACUCAAGCAGUCGGCCUGACAUUCAGAGGAUUUGGCUGCCCCUCGUCAUCCCAGUGACAGAGGGUGGGGGAGGGGGACCAGCGAAGCCGCCAGUCCUCCUGCUGCUUCCCGCUCUGCUUGGAGAGCUGAGCAUGUUGCUCAAACCGGCCGGCACGGAGCCCUUGCUCUAUUCUGUACAACACUCGGAACGUCAUGCGCUUAUGCGCAUGGGUCUGCACACAACCCAGCAAAACUCUAUGUCCUCUGCAUCCCAGAUCCCAGUCAAGGGACCUUCAAAGGUAAUUCGAUGCAUGUAGUCUUCCCCUUAGUAGAGACCUGAGGACGAACCCAUGUCAGUUAAAACUCGGGUGUGACUUGGACUUAACACCAGCCUGCUUCAGUUGUAGCGCAUCUGAGUCCCUCAAUGACCCUGGAGGGCCGGGGUGCUCCUUGUCCCCCCGAUUCCGGGGCACUGCCCUCCAGCUUUCGGCGGCUUUGUUAACUGCAGGGCGUGAACUAAGCUGAUGAUUUCUUUGAAGGAAGUCAGGAUGAUUCCCUGGUCUUCAUAAUUUGGCUCUGGCUUGAAGCUCUGCAGCCAACUCCAGGAGCACAGAUGCGGCCCCAAGACACAGUCUCGUGGUGCCAGGGGCUCCCGGCUCUCCAGUGCAGGUCCUGGGUUUCCACCCUCACUAAGCAGGGUGUCCCUGUGACCCCCCCACUUCAGCCAACCUCCUGGGCUGCCAGGCCACUCCGGCCUCUGCUGUGUUCCUUCAACUGUCCCUCCUCCUCUGAGGACAUCGUGGCAGUUCUGGGCAGGCCGGCCGCACCAGUGAGAGGCCCAAGAGAAGAGUGCGCCGUUCAGCGUUGCUGUUUGGACUCUGCCUCUGAGAGUCAGUUUCAUCUGCCACAAAUUCUCAGUGGUUCUGCAGCGCGGUCAGUGGUUAUCUCCCCUGCCGAGGUGUGAGUGCUCGUCCUGGCCCCCCACUGGUGGAGGGAAAGUGAAGGGUCCUCCUUCCACCCACGUGGUGCUCACCACGAGCCUGCAGCGGGCCUGACGUUGUGGAGGCGUAUGUGUCUAAUGUGCCUAAUGCCACCGACUGACGGGUGUCUCACCAGGCGGGCUACGGAUGCCGCAGCCAGGCCUCCUCGCAAGCCCCAGGAGGCUUGGCAUAGCAGAGGGGAAGGGGCUCUGCUCUUCUUCUAAUCCCAGUGCUGCCCCUUCCUGGUGGCGUGUCUGUGGGCACAUUACCUAGUGUCUUGGAAGCUUCCCAGCUUCCUCACACAAUUACCGUCUAACCUGGUCAUUGUGAGGAUUCCAUGGAGGACCCAGCAUCGUGUGCUCCUGCUGAAUGACCAGUUGAGCAUCCCCGGACUACCAUCACCUCUGUCCUCCACCUUCCAGGGCGUCCUGGGCAGGUGGCCCUUGAUACCUGCUGAAGAAUGCUGCUUGCAGGUGUCACUGGCCAGGGACAUGGCAGGUCCUGAGCACAUAGCACUGGGACGUGGGGAGAAUGAGUCAAUCAGAUGUGCCUCAGUGAUGGAGAACCAAUAUGUAGAUGUGCAGCCUCUUUGGGGACCACAAAUCUCAGCAGUUGACCAAUAUAUAAAAUUAAAAAAAAAAAAAAGUGAUGAAAACCAGUGAUGAAGAAAAAAACCUUAGAAGAGACCAAAGGGGGAGAAAGAUGUUCCAUACAGAACAAAAAUAAGGAUGACAUCAGAUUUCUCACUGGAAACAAUCCAAGCAAGAAGACAGUGGAGCAAAAUUUUAGAAGUAGUCAAUCUAAAAUUCUAUAUCCACUGAAAAUAUCUUUCAAAAAGGAAGGCAAAAUAAAAGUCUUUUCAGACACACAAAAUCUGAAAGAAUUCCUCACCAGCAGACCCACACUUCAAAAAGUGUUAAAGAGAGUCUGUUAGGCAGAAGGAAAAUCUGGAUCUGCCCAUAGGAAUGAAGAGCGCCGGAAGCCAACACAGAACUUUCAAAGGUUUUUCUUAUAUUAUUUGAACCUCUCUAAAAGACAAUCGGUUUAAAAACAACAAUAUAUCAUGGGGUUUACAAUAUGUAAAAGUGAAAUGCAGGACAAGAAGAGUACAAAGGCCAGGAGGGGCAGGGUGGGAGGGCGGGGGUUUGAAGGGUGGCAAAAUCCCUCUGAGGCAGAUUGGGACAAGUUAAAGACAAAUUGGAUCAGCCCCUAAAGCAACCACUACACUGGCAAAGACAGAAUUAUACAGAAUAAACCAGCAAUGGAAAUAAAAAAAGAUCACAGAAAAAUACUCAAUCCUAGAGAAGGUAGAAAAAGAGGAAAAAGGGAACAAAAAACAGAUUAGACAAAUAGAAACAAAUACCAAGAUGAAAAAACUCAAAUCUAGCCACAUCACAUGCAAUGAAAAUGAUCUAAAUCCUCCAAUUUUAAUGCUGAUUGCCAGAAUGGAUUAAAAAAUCAAGACCCAACCAUAUGCUGCCUGUGAUAAAUACACUUUAAAAAGGAAGCACACACAAACAGGUUAAAAGUAAAAAAUGGGAAGGAACAAGUCCAAAAACAGAUCUCACACCAAAUAGUAUUACCAGAGGUAAAGAAGAUCACUUCAUUUUUUAAAAGAUUUUUAUUUAUUUUGAGAGAAAGGGAGGGGUCAGGGAGGGGCAGAGGCAGAGAGAGGGAUCACAAAUAGACUCCUUGCUGAGUGCAGACCCCAGCUUGGGGCUCGACCUCGCCACCCUGAGCCCAUGCCCGGAGCUGAAAUCAAGUGGGAUGCUCACCCAGCUGCACCACCACGCCUUGAAGGUCACGUCACUCUGAUGAAGGAAUCAACAAAUCAAGAGGACAUAGUGGUCCUAUGUUUGUGCAUCUAAUACUUCAAAAUGUAUAGAGCAAAAACUGAUAGAAGUCCCAGGAGAAAUAGAUAAAUCCAUAAUUUUCGCUAUGAUUCUCCCGGUCGCUGGCAGAGCAAGGCGGGAAUUUAGCAGGUGCCUCGCAGACUCCGACCAGAUGCUGCCCCGCAGCCGUGGAGCGCACGGUUCACCAAGACAGACCGUGGAGACAGCCCCCCUGUUUGAAGGGCUUGAAACCACACCAAGUGCUUCUCCAGCCGUAAUGCAAUUCAGUUAGAAUUCAACAACAGAGAUCUCUGGGACGACUCCACGUAUUUGAAAACUAAAGAACCCACAGAACAAGGAAGAAACCAAAAUGGAAACCACUAGCUGUUCUGAACGGGAUGGAAGUGAAAACACAACGUUCACGCUUGAACACAUCCCACUUGGCCAUGGGACGGUAUUAUGUCAACGUGCUGCUGUAGUUUCUUCCCUAGUGUGAUACUCACUGGAACUGCACUGAUAUUUAUAAGUAGUGUUUGUUUGUAAAUUUUCUUCUUUUGAUACCAUCUUUUCAGAACUGUGUCUCAACAUCCUACUUGUUUCAUGAAAGACACUUCAAAGUCCUUCACGUCCCAUGCUCUGGAACAAGUUGAAGAUUUGGUAGAAUUCUUCUUUGGGAACAAUGGGGCCGCGUGAUUUUGAGUGGGCUCGUUCCUCAGUAACUUUAUUUUGUUGUUCAGAAGCUAUUCUGCUCAAGCUGUCUCUCUCCAGUGGGGUCAGUCAUGUUAAGCUAUUGUUUCUCAGGAAAUUAUCCAUGUCAUCUGGAUUUUACAUUUAAUUAAAAGUAGUCUUCUGUUUAACAAAAUAUUCAUUGGAUUCAAUUCAAUUUAUUUCUCCCUUCUCAUUUCUGAUUUAAUAUGUUUUUAUUUUCUCUCUCUUUUUCUUGA